UACGUAGGGGGCUAGCGUUGUCCGGAUUUAUUGGGCGUAAAGAGCGUGUAGGCGGCCAGGUAGGUCUGCUGUGAAAACUCGAGGCUCAACCUCGAGACGUCGGCGGAAACCAUCUGGCUAGAGUCCGGAAGAGGAGAGUGGGAAUUCCUGGUGUAGCGGUGGAAAUGCGCAGAUAUCAGGAGGAACACCAAUUGCGAAGGCAGCUCGCUGGGACGUUACUGACGCUGAGAACGCGAAGCGUGGGGAGCAAACAGG
RNAcentral lists this ribosomal RNA (255 nucleotides) under uncultured bacterium. RNAcentral describes it as "partial 16S ribosomal RNA". It matches the Rfam family "Bacterial small subunit ribosomal RNA", at positions 524 to 776 of the family's 1533-position model. The record is from RNAcentral.